AUUGAACGCUGGCGGCAUGCUUUACACAUGCAAGUCGAACGGCAGCACGAAAGAAGCUUGCUUCUUUUGGUGGCGAGUGGCGAACGGGUGAGUAAUACAUCGGAAUGUACCGUUUAGUGGGGGACAACUUUCAGAAAUGGAAGCUAAUACCGCAUACGAACUACGGUUGAAAGCAGGGGACCUUCGGGCCUUGUGCUAAACGAGCAGCCGAUGGAAGAUUAGCUAGUUGGUAGGGUAAAGGCCUACCAAGGCAACGAUCUUUAGCGGGUCUGAGAGGACGAUCCGCCACACUGGAACUGAGACACGGUCCAGACUCCUACGGGAGGCAGCAGUGGGGAAUUUUGGACAAUGGGGGCAACCCUGAUCCAGCAAUGCCGCGUGAGUGAAGAAGGCCUUCGGGUUGUAAAGCUCUUUUGUUAGGGAAGAAAAGGACUCGGAUAAUACCCGGGUCAGAUGACGGUACCUAAAGAAUAAGCACCGGCUAACUACGUGCCAGCAGCCGCGGUAAUACGUAGGGUGCAAGCGUUAAUCGGAAUUACUGGGCGUAAAGCGUGCGCAGGCGGCCUCGCAAGUCAGAUGUGAAAUCCCCGAGCUCAACUUGGGAACUGCAUUUGAAACUACGAGGCUAGAGUGUGUCAGAGGGAGGUAGAAUUCCACGUGUAGCAGUGAAAUGCGUAGAGAUGUGGAGGAAUACCAGUGGCGAAGGCGGCCUCCUGGGAUAACACUGACGCUCAUGUACGAAAGCGUGGGGAGCAAACAGGAUUAGAUACCCUGGUAGUCCACGCCCUAAACGAUGUCAACUGGUUGUUGGGUCCUCAUUGACUUAGUAACGAAGCUAACGCGUGAAGUUGACCGCCUGGGGAGUACGGUCGCAAGAUUAAAACUCAAAUGAAUUGACGGGGACCCGCACAAGCGGUGGAUGAUGUGGAUUAAUUCGAUGCAACGCGAAAAACCUUACCUACCCUUGACAUGCCACUAACGAAGCAGAGAUGCAUUAGGUGCUCGAAAGAGAAAGUGGACACAGGUGCUGCAUGGCUGUCGUCAGCUCGUGUCGUGAGAUGUUGGGUUAAGUCCCGCAACGAGCGCAACCCUUGUCAUUAGUUGCCAUCAUUAAGUUGGGCACUCUAAUGAGACUGCCGGUGACAAACCGGAGGAAGGUGGGGAUGACGUCAAGUCCUCAUGGCCCUUAUGGGUAGGGCUUCACACGUCAUACAAUGGUCGGUACAAAGGGUCGCCAAGCCGCGAGGUGGAGCCAAUCCCAUAAAACCGAUCGUAGUCCGGAUUGGAGUCUGCAACUCGACUCCAUGAAGUCGGAAUCGCUAGUAAUCGUGGAUCAGAAUGUCACGGUGAAUACGUUCCCGGGUCU
RNAcentral lists this ribosomal RNA (1366 nucleotides) under uncultured bacterium. RNAcentral's name for it is "16S ribosomal RNA". It matches the Rfam family "Bacterial small subunit ribosomal RNA", at positions 28 to 1381 of the family's 1533-position model. The record is from RNAcentral.